AUCGCAAGCAACACACACAACAUAGAUCUCAUUACAUUACGGCAUCACUUGACGGGCCUGGUCCGUCGAAGGCGUCGCCUCCCGCUGACCGCGCGGGGGUGGUGAGAUAUUCAGCGGUCGACCUACAACUCCACACACACUCUGAUCCCGAGUCACCAUCCAGCGACCCGGACGCGGAGGCCGACGGCACUCGCCGGCGGGGUCCGACAGAGCUUCGACGGGAGGAAACCGCGCGAGGCAUUGUCACACUCCGUUGACGAUCGCCGGCCGGGUUCGGCGACGGAACGAGGCGUGACGGGGCGGCGUGGCGCUCGCGAGCCGGUUGGCGCAGCGGGCGGCAGGUCGGACGGAUUCCGUCCCGGGCAACCGGGCGGCAGGCCGGACGACUCCGCGCCGGGCAUGCGGGCAGGUCGGACGGCUCCCGUCCCGGACUCCGGGCGGGC
RNAcentral lists this small RNA (443 nucleotides) under Actinoplanes sp. SE50/110. RNAcentral describes it as "non-coding RNA with unknown function". The record is from RNAcentral. Lineage: Bacteria; Bacillati; Actinomycetota; Actinomycetes; Micromonosporales; Micromonosporaceae.